This 500-nucleotide long non-coding RNA is filed under the name Lactuca sativa (garden lettuce). Its description in RNAcentral is "long non-coding RNA (LSAT_LNC007566)". The record is from RNAcentral. Lineage: Eukaryota; Viridiplantae; Streptophyta; Magnoliopsida; Asterales; Asteraceae.
CAAUUAGAACGGUCAAAGCAAAGACUAUACCAUGAACGGGCCCAAAUAAUUGCCGCCCGUUUGGGGAUGUCAUCCACCACCGCCGCCGCUACGCCCAUCCCACAACCACCAAGGGCAGGAAUGUCAUUUCCAAAUCCAACACAAAGACCUCCAAAUCCAAAUCCAAAUCCAAUGACAAAUCCCAUGACCAUGACUCCGCCUCAAAGACCGCCACCUUCANGCCGCUAGGCCCAUCCCACAACCACCAAGGGCAGGAAUGUCAUUUCCAAAUCCAACACAAAGACCUCCAAAUCCAAAUCCAAAUCCAAUGACAAAUCCCAUGACCAUGACUCCGCCUCAAAGACCGCCACCUUCAAGACCCAUGACGAUGGCACCAACGCCACCGCCACCGCCACCUCCUACAGUCGCCGGAAACCCGUCCUCGGUUGGAAUGAAGUGAGGGGAGGGCAAAAUUGUAAUUUGGCAUUGUGUUGUACCACACGAAAGUUCUAACAAGUUUU